Solea solea (common sole) is the source of this 7794-nucleotide RNA transcript. It is a transcript of the gene named myosin phosphatase Rho-interacting protein, with no coding region annotated. The record is from RefSeq and is a predicted model, not a curated record. NCBI's taxonomy places the organism in Eukaryota, Metazoa, Chordata, Actinopteri, Pleuronectiformes, Soleidae. The transcript is spliced from 24 exons.
CACGAGGUAAGAUAUUCCACGGAUCUUACGGUUAUUCUUACAGUCAGAUGGGUUGGAGCGAGGGUCUAUUGGACAGUGUCUGUGAUUGGCCGUGAUCGGACGUCACUCACCACUCCACUAAGCCCCGCCCCUUCUCUUCACGGACUGUUUUCGACUGUUCGAGAGAGCGAGUUUUCGCCACCACGCACAGCCCACGACACGACUGUUGAUCCCCCGCAUUGACAGCCGCGUCCACGGUGUAACUUCAGUCUUCGGCCUUGAACGGAGAUGAGUGAAAUGGCUUUAAUGGCGCUGACUGCGCUGUCAGUUGUUACACACACACACACGGGACGGGAAAGUAGAAACGUUCCGCUUUACGGAGGCACACAGGACCUGUGCAGCGAGCGCGAGGCCCGGUAAGUGUUCCGUGAAACGUCCACGCGACGAGGACAAACGAGCGCCCACGUCCCUGUCGUCUGUCUCACAACGUGUCGGCAGCCUGCGGACAGACUUGUGUACAGAGAAAAGUUUGCGCUUCAGCUGCAAACAUGUGCGUCAUAGACGUCAGUGAACGCGAGGUCGUCGCCUCAGGUAACCACGCACGGGGGAACCACGCGUGAUUCACUCCACUGGACUCGAGGCUGCUCCAUCCACACCUGGCUACGAGUAUUGAGCAGGUUUUUGUUGUUUUUUUUUUGCCCUCAAACAAAGACUUUUAGUUCAUCUUUAGUUUGUUUUUCAUUUUCUAUUUUCAUCAACCAUGUCAUCCUGUCGGAAAUUCCAAGCCAACAUUUUCAACAAAAGUAAAUGUCAGAACUGUUUUAAGCCCCGAGAAUCACAUCUGCUCAACGACAAAGACUCAAACCAGGCAAAACCUAUAUCUGGAGGAUGGUUGCUGCUGGCACCGGAGGGAACAGAUUUUGACAAUCCAUUACACAGAACCCGGAAAUGGCAGAGGAGGUUCUUCAUCCUUUAUGAGCAUGGCUUACUUCACUAUGUUCUGGAUGAAAUGCCCGGCACUCUACCUCAGGGUACAAUUAAUAUGAACCAGUGCUCCGAUGUCAUCGAUGGAGAGAUGAGGACAGGUCACAAGAACUCACUGUGCAUCCUCACCCCAGAGAAGGAGUACUUUAUACGGGCAGAAUGUAAAGAUGUCAUCAAUGGGUGGCAGGAAGCUCUGGCUGUGUAUCCUUCUACCAACAAGCAGAAGAAAAAACGAAAGGUUGAACCAAAUCUCCAGGAGCCUGGCCCUGCCAAGGUGACAGUGACCAGCAGCAGCAGCAGCAGUGGAGGCAGUGCUGAGUCUGUCCCCAAGAGCCGUGCCUCUCUGUGGCAGAAUGAGAGCCAGUGGAGCAGGACCACAAUCCCCCACACAGACUCCACCAUCACGACUCCAGACGAUGUUGGCACUGUGAGAACUGGACGCAAGAUGCGAGUGGAGAGUGGCUACUUUUCCUUGGAAAAGACCAAGUCAGAGCCUUCCUCACAGUCUGCGCAGCCUCAGCAUGUGACCCUUUCCUCUUCAGCACCCUCCUCCUCUUUAGGAGCUCCUGGUCCCAGGUACAAACCCAAGACCGAACCACCAACUCCCCCCCGUCAACCUUCCCAGGAUCUGCUCCCUUCACCAGGUGCACUUCCACAAUCCACAAUCCCUUCCUCCCAGAGGCCUGAGACUCUUAGUGUCACUGGGACUAAGCCCACUUGGGAGUUCAGUGUUGGUGAAAGGAGUGCUGAUACUGAUGGAGGAGGCAGAGUGGGCCGCUGUGACAGACAGACCUGUAGAGACACAGGUCUGACUUUCCACACAGAGCUGCGGCCACGAACAUGUACUCCUGGCAGAGAGGAGGUCGCCUGGCUGUUCGGGGAGGAGCGCAGGCUUUCUCAAAUCCUCAGGCGGUUUGAAGAGGGUCAGCUUGUAGAGCAAAAGGACCCGAGCAGCCACAGCGAGCCCUCUGCUAACACCACCACGCUAAUCCAGAGACAUGGCUGCAGCGGAAGACGUGAUCUGCUCCAUAAACAUCCAGAUCUGCUGAACUUCAAGAAAGGAUGGAUGACCAAGCUGUAUGACGACGGAGUGUGGAAGAAACAUUGGUUUGUCCUGACAGACCAGAGUCUGAGGUACUACAAGGACUCAGUAGCUGAGGAGGCUUCACACCUCGAUGGUGAGAUUGACCUUUCCACGUGUUAUGAUGUCAAAACGUUCCCCGUCCAGAGGAAUUAUGGCUUCCAGAUCCUGUGCCAAGAUGGAGCAUACACACUGUCAGCUAUGACCUCUGGAAUCCGUCGCAACUGGAUUCAGGCCAUUAUGAAGAAUGUGCAGCCUACUGUCGCCCCCGACAUCACCCGGUCGCUCUCUGAUGAGAAGAUAAAAACCCAAAUGAUGUUGAAGCCGUGUCUCCAGGUGACCGUUGAGCAGAGCCUCGUCCCAGAGGGCCACAGACAACCACCUGGUAACCAAUCCUCUGUGCUUUCCUCUGAGCUCUGUAAAACUGCAGUUUGUGAGCACAAACUAGAGGGAUGCUCUGAGACCUAUGAUUGCUUUGACUCGAAGAUGGAACAGACAGAAAAGCCUGUGAAGGCACAAGGAGACACAGUUGACCUCAGCUCUACAACCUCCUCAUCCUCUCCUGGCUCUACCUCCUCCUUCCAAACCUCUGUAUCAGUUGCUCACCCACUUUCAACAACAGGAAGGGAGAAUGUCAGGAGGGGUAUCCAGCUACACAGCACAAGUGCAAACAACGUGCCAAAUACUGCUACUGUGACAGUGACAUCAACUCUGAAUAACAACGUGAUACCUUUAUCUGAAAUCCAAGAGCAAGGGAAGAAGGAAGCGCACCACCCUACAUCCUCGCAUCAUAUUGAUGAAGAUAAGGACGGCAGACCCUCAGUUGUCCAUGAAGAGAUUGAGCAGCGAUGGCAUCAGGUGGAGACAACACCUUUGAGAGAAGAGAAGCAAGUGCCCAUCACCACAGUCUUAGGAACCUCUGCCAGACUACCUGCCCAUGAGCUUGUCGUGCUGCUGGACAAAGAGUUGGGACAGAAGCAGACUGAGCUGGAUCAACUACAGAAGCAGAACAACAUUUUAAAAGAGAAGCUGGAAGAUGCACUUGGCAGAGAACUGAGUGCCAGAGAGGGCUAUGUAUUACAGACGACAACACCCCCUUCAUCUCCAUCACACAGAGUGCAGUGGCAGCACUUGCACAAACUUAAUCAAGAAACCCAAAAGCACAAGCAAGACCUUGCUCCGCAGCAGAUCCAGAGAUCAAACAGAAGCAACACUAAUGCUCAAGAUGCCGUAGACCACCACGUGGCAGAUAUUCAGGCUCUGCAGCAUGAACUAACAUUUUUGAUGGCUCAAAUCUUGGCUAGUGAACAGGCUAUGACUCGAAUGCACAAUACGUUAGAACAGGAGCAUUCAACGGAACAAAAAGGUGAAGCCACCACAUGUGUCCAGCUAAAGGACAAUGAGGACAGACGACGUGAAUUAGAGGCCUGCCUAUUGGAGAGGAACCAGGCCCAUAGGCACAUGAGAGAGGUACAAAGGUUGGAGGAGAGACUUCAAGACGUAACUGCUAGAUCUAGUGCUACUGAACAGAGCCAGACUGUGAAGGAAGAGUGCCUGAGUAAGGAGCAGCACAGCGUGCAAGGAAGUCAUGAUGGGGAAAGACAGAGUCUAUGUGGAAGAUUAUCUCAGGCGGACAUGGUACAAAAAGAGAUAGAGAACAGAGUGCUGAAAGCUGGGCAUCAGGAAAGAGCUUUGCUCAGAACUAGGCAGAACUCAGAAGGGAACGAAUACAGGGAGAAAAUGUUGAAGUUAGAAAAGGAACUGACCCAGAAGAUUGACAUGGUUGAAACACUGAGAGAGAGUAUGCAUAGGGUAGAAGAGAAAUGCCAUCUCACUUCCUGCUGUCAGGAGCUUCUCAACCAGAUUGCAGACACAGACUGUGAGGUGAAUGAACUCUGCAAAUAUCCGGAAAAUGAAGAAGCUGAAUACGACACACUGCAGCACUCAUGUGAGAGAGCUACCCUGGAGUUCCAGAAAAUGAGCCACUUCCUUGGAGAAAAAGAAGAAGAGAUCCGACAGACUAAAGAUAUAUAUGAGAGGCUGGUGAAACACAGGGAAAGGGACUUAAAAGAGGCACUUAUUAAAAUGACGCUUCUUAGCAACAGCUUGGAGCAAACGGAACAGAAGUUGCAAGCUAAGGAGGAGCUUCUCUGUCAAAUGAGUCAACGUCUCUCAGGAAAGGUUGAGCCCUGUAGUCAUGACAAGAAUCUGCAAUCCAUGCUUGUGGUUGCAGAGGACCAUAAUGCAGAGCUAGAGCAGCUUCUCAAUGCCCUGCAGUUGGGCUAUGCCGAUCGUCACAUGGAAAGACGGCAAACUCCAGAACAGAGCAAGAGGGGAAGACUUCAUACGUCACCCUCCUCAUCACCGAACACAGAGCGUACACCCAAGACAGAGGAACCCCCAGAUGAUAAGGAGUCACAAAAUAAGCCACAUACUAAUGACCCGGAGAGGUUUAUCUCCAUUAUACAUGCCUUAGAAUCUAGACUGCUGGCCGCUGAGGAUAGGCUAAGAAAUAUGACACAUCAUUUAGAGGAGCAGCGAUCUUCCUGGGUAGAUGACAUGACAAAGACUGAUCUCAGGAGGACAAAAGAAAAUAACCGUUACUUAGGUAAAGAGUUUUGUUGUGGUAGUACGACACAAAGUAGUGCUGCCAAUAACCACUAUAUGAAUGCUUUGGCGUGUGUGGAAAACAGUCAGAGGAAAGUCAGAGCUUUUCUCCUUGGCUCUCAUGAUGCCGCUGUUUCACAGCUACGUUCACUGUCAGCUAUAGAAAAGGAUUUGUUCAAAGCAUCACUGCACAUCCAACAAGGACAAAUGAUGCAAGAGCAUACAGCAGUUGUCCAAAAUCAAACUUCAGAGGUUCCAGAGAGUGCCCUCUGGAAGGAAAUGGAGAUAUUUGAAACGGAUGAUGCUACAUCCAAAAACAGAAGUGUAAAUGCUGAUGCCACUAUCUUUAACACUUUAAUGAAAGCAGAGCUUGUCUACUCCAUUCAAAAUCUUGAACUUUGCUUUGAGGAGAAAUUCAACAUUCUGAAAAGAGAGUUAAAUGAAGCUUUUAGUAACUUAUAUCAAAGGGAAAUGGCUCUGAGAGCAAUUAUUCAAGCUUCCAAAAGCCCUGAUUUGAGAAAUAUAAGGAAGGAAGUUGAAAAUAGGUUUUUCUCAAGUAAACAAAAGUUAGCUGACAUUCAUCCCCCUGACGUUGCUCCUUACAUGGAGCAGAUUAAAAUGGAUGCAGCUCGAGACUUGGCUGACAACACUGUAGGCAGACACUUGGCUGUACGAAUUGUCCCUUUUGGUGAUGACUCUGUUGAGCUACUCCAAAAUGCGCAUGCUAACCUUGCUAAAGAGCUUCAGAGGCAAGCAGCAACCCUCCAUAAAUAUGCUCAAGAGAUAGAAAGUGGUGUAAACCAUCCUGGACAGGUUAAAAUGACCCCCCAUCAUAAUUUAAGCAGCUCUCUGUGUUUGCGUGAAGCUCGUACCCAUGCUCAGGUGGCCCAUGCUGCAUGCAGGUUACAGGCCACACAUGAACAAGAGUUGGGUCGGUGCAAACAGUCAAGUCAGAACAUGGAUGCUGUUGUUCAGCAGCAUGCUCACAAUAUUAGUGCAAUUCAAGAGAAGUAUGAAGCCAUUUUACAGGAGGGGCGUCUGAGGUUCUCACAGAUGGUGACCACUCUACAAAUGGAGAUUCAAACACUGAAGAGUGAGAUCUGCAAGCGUGUGAACCGGCUCUACCAGCAGCAGGAGCAUCUGGCCCUCCUGGAGGAGCAUAACGAGGAGCACCCUGAAGAGUUGAAGCAGCUUCACCAAGCUUUGACAGCGCUGGAUAUCAUGGAUAUAGUUGCUGAUGGCCAACGAAGGUUGGAGGUUCUGCUGAUAGACGUAGAUACAGUGAAGAAGCGACACAAGCAUCAUGUGAAAAAACUGGAGGAGCACAUUGAGCAAUGGAUCUGUGAGCUUCAGCACAAUCAUAGAAAAGAGAUAGGAAAGUUACAGUCUCAACAUGUGUCAAAGAUGGACUCAAUAGGGUUUCUGAAGGAACGGAUCCAGGACCUGGAGACAGAGAUGAACUUCAUGCGGCUCGAAAUGGAGAACAACCACCUCGAUGGAGAUGUGUCCAGCCUGAGAGAGAAAGACCAGAGAGACUUUGACAGUCUUAAGUCCACAUGUGAACGUGGGUUUGCUACAAUGGAAGAAACACACCAGAGAGUGAUAGAAGACCUGCAGAGGCACCAUCAGAGAGAGAUUUCUAAACUGAUGGAGGAGCGAGAAAGACUGCUGGCUGAGGAAACUGCUGCAACAAUUGCUGCUAUUGAAGCUAUGAAAAAUGCACAAAAGGAGAAAAUGGAGAAGUCCCAGCGCUCCCACCUGAGUGGACUGAACUCUGACAUCGAUGAGCUUCACUUACAAUAUGAAGAGGAGCUCCAGUCCAUCCAGAGAGAACUGGACGUGUUGUCAGAGCAGUAUUCUCAGAAAUGUCUGGAGAAUGCUCACCUUGCUCAGGCACUGGAGGCUGAAAGGCAGGCCCUCAGGCAGUGUCAGAGAUAUAACCAGGAACUGAACGCUGACAAUCAGCAGGAAUUAAACAAGCAGCUGACUGCAGAGAUCACACAGAAGCGUUCACGUGUCACCGGGGAAACAACGUUGUCCUCACUGACCCAGGGCAAAGAUGUGUAUGAACUAGAGGUGUUGCUGCGCAUUAAGGAGUCAGAGAUCCAGUAUCUGAAACAGGAAAUCCACUCUUUGAAAGAUGAAUUGCAGUCUGCUUUAAGGGACAAGAAAUAUGCCACAGACAAAUAUAAGGACAUUUAUACAGAGCUCAGCAUCGUGAAAGCAAAAGCUGACUUUGACAUCAGCAAACUGAAGAAGAAGUUACUGACAGCCACAGAAGCUUUAGGUGGAAGGAGUGUCGAUGAAGCCGUGACAUCUGGAUAUGACAUCAUGAAGUCAAAAAGUAAUCCAGAUUUUAUUAAAAAAGAUAAAGCAACAACCUCCAAACAGUUGAGAAGAAUAAGGUCAAAGACUGUCACUGCACAGGUCUCAUGGGACAGCUGACACUCCAGUUGUGGGGUGAACGCCUUAACCCCUGCACCAAGAUGCUCUGUAGAGCCUGAAGGAGGGACUAACUCUGCAGGAGUGCACGAAGCAAAGCUUUUUUAUAUCAACAAUUUCAAAUUUAAUUUACAAUUAUUAUUUACUGAAGACAAAGUUACAGUGGGCUUGCUGCUUCCAUGAUGUUUAAUGACAUCUCUUUGAAAUACAUAUUAUUAUUUUUAUAUUCUUUUUGUUUCAACCUGGAAAUCUGUCAGAUAAGCUGUGACAACAGACAGCAACACACGAAUAAUGAAUAAUAUAUAUUUCCCAGUAUGAAUGCUGUAUGCUGUGUUUCCAGAUCUGUUGGUUUGGUCCGUGUUAAACGUUGCACCUGUGCUGCUUUACAUACAUAACUGCUGUACUGUGGUACCAACUAUAGUUAACUUCCUUAUCUGUGACAGUUAAAACAUGUCUGUGUCUUUUUUAAACUCAGCCUGGUGUAGUGAAAGUGAGUGAGUGAAUCGUUGCCGUGCAGCCAACCAUCUAAAAAAACACACUCACACACUCUCAUGUUUUGCCUUUAGCUUUGAUUACUCACUCAUUCACUGAAGCAUUGUUUCAAUAAGCUUCUGCAGUGUCACAAGAUUUAUUUCCAUCCAGUGUUGAUGAUGGGAGAGUCCCUGCACCUGGGGUUCAGGUCUGGACUCAGGUCUGGACUC